This 375-nucleotide unclassified non-coding RNA is filed under the name uncultured bacterium. RNAcentral's name for it is "contains 16S-23S intergenic spacer region". The record is from RNAcentral.
UCCGGCUUGUCGCCGGCGGUCCCUUUAGAGUGCCCAACUGAAUGAUGGCAACUAAAGGAGAGGGUUGCGCUCGUUGCGGGACUUAACCCAACAUCUCGCGGCACGAGCUGACGACAGCCAUGCAGCAUCUGUGCACGGGUCCCGAAGGAGGACCCCAUCUCUGGGGCUUUCCCGUGUAUGUCAAGCCCUGGUAAGGUUCUUCGCGUUGCGUCGAAUUAAACCACACGCUCCGCUGCUUGUGCGGGCCCCCGUCAAUUCCUUUGAGUUUUAGCCUUGCGGCCGUACUCCCCAGGCGGGGCACUUAAUGCGUUAGCUUCGGCACGGAGGGAGUCGACACCCCCCACACCUAGUGCCCAUCGUUUACAGCGUGGACUA